GCGCCUGUAGCUCAGUUGGAUAGAGCACCUGGCUACGAACUAGGGGGUCGCGGGUUCGAAUCCUACCAGGCGUACCA
RNAcentral lists this transfer RNA (77 nucleotides) under Sutterella sp. RNAcentral's name for it is "tRNA-Arg". It matches the Rfam family "tRNA". Rfam says of the family: Transfer RNA (tRNA) molecules are approximately 80 nucleotides in length. Their secondary structure includes four short double-helical elements and three loops (D, anti-codon, and T loops). The record is from RNAcentral. RNAcentral also lists the same sequence under 1 other name. Lineage: Bacteria; Pseudomonadati; Pseudomonadota; Betaproteobacteria; Burkholderiales; Sutterellaceae.